This 777-nucleotide ribosomal RNA is filed under the name uncultured bacterium. RNAcentral describes it as "bacterial SSU rRNA". It matches the Rfam family "Bacterial small subunit ribosomal RNA", at positions 8 to 796 of the family's 1533-position model. The record is from RNAcentral.
AGAGUUUGAUCAUGGCUCAGGAUGAAUGCUGGCGACGUGUCUAAGGCAUGCAAGUCGUGCGCUCUUACGGCGAUUACAUCAAUGGAAAGAGAGCGGCAAACGGGUGCGUAACACAUUGGUAACCUACCUCGAGGUCGUGAAUAAUUCCGCGAAAGUGGAACUAAUACACGAUGGACAAGGGGGGUCGCAAGACAUUCCUUGUAAAGAUUUAUCGCCACGAGAGGGGCCUAUGUCCUAUCAGCUAGUUGGAGAGGUAAUGGCUCACCAAGGCUAUGACGGGUAGCGGGCGCGAGAGCGUGACCCGUCUCACUGGGACUGAGACACUGCCCAGACUCCUACGGGAGGCUGCAGUCGAGAAUAUUCCUCAAUGCACGAAAGUGUGAAGGAGCGACGUCGCGUGCCAGAAGAAGCCCCUCGGGGUGUAAAUGGCUUUUUUCAGGGAAGAAUUCUGACGGUACCUGAAGAAUAAGUGGUUGCUAACUCUGUGCCAGCAGCAGCGGUAAUACAGAGACCACGAGCAUUAUCCGGAUUUAUUGGGCGUAAAGCGUCCGCAGGUGGUCGUGUGCGUCAUACGUUAAAUCUUUGGGCUCAACCCAAAGUCUGCGCGUGAUACGGCACGACUCGAGGCCGGGAGAGGUACAUGGAAUUGCUGGUGUAGCGGUAAAAAUGCGUUCAUAUCAGCAAGAACACCAAAAGCGAAAGCAGUGUACUGGAACGGUCCUGACACUCAGGGACGAAAGCGUGGGUAGCGAAUGAGAUUAGAUACCCUAGUAGUCC